GCUGCGGUGUCCGAGCGGUUAAGGAGAUGGACUUGAAAUCCAUUGGGUGCUACCCGCGCAGGUUCGAAUCCUGUCCGCAGCG
Melipona quadrifasciata is the source of this 82-nucleotide transfer RNA. It matches the Rfam family "tRNA". From Rfam's summary of the family: Transfer RNA (tRNA) molecules are approximately 80 nucleotides in length. Their secondary structure includes four short double-helical elements and three loops (D, anti-codon, and T loops). The record is from Rfam. Lineage: Eukaryota; Metazoa; Arthropoda; Insecta; Hymenoptera; Apidae.